Phrynosoma platyrhinos (Desert horned lizard) is the source of this 72-nucleotide non-coding RNA. Lineage: Eukaryota; Metazoa; Chordata; Lepidosauria; Squamata; Phrynosomatidae. The record is from the annotation of a GenBank genome assembly.
GACAGCAUGGUGUAGUGGUUUGAGCACUGGAUUAGAACUCUGGAUAUUAGGGUUUAAUUCCCUGUUCAGCCA